This 274-nucleotide ribosomal RNA is filed under the name uncultured bacterium. RNAcentral's name for it is "partial 16S ribosomal RNA". It matches the Rfam family "Bacterial small subunit ribosomal RNA", at positions 523 to 796 of the family's 1533-position model. The record is from RNAcentral.
AUACGGAGGGUGCGAACGUUAAUCGGAAUUACUGGGCGUAAAGCGCGCGUAGGCGGUUCGGUAAGUGGGAUGUGAAAGCCCCGGGCUCAACCUGGGAACUGCAUUCCAAACUGCAGGACUAGAGUAUGAUAGAGGGAGGUAGAAUUUCCUGUGUAGCGGUGAAAUGCGUAGAUAUAGGAUGGAAUACCGAUGGCGAAGGCAGCCUCCUGGACCAAUACUGAUGCUGAGGUGCGAAAGCGUGGGGAGCAAACAGAAUUAGAAACCCCAGUAGUCC